RNAcentral lists this ribosomal RNA (253 nucleotides) under uncultured bacterium. RNAcentral describes it as "partial 16S ribosomal RNA". It matches the Rfam family "Bacterial small subunit ribosomal RNA", at positions 524 to 776 of the family's 1533-position model. The record is from RNAcentral.
UACGGGGGAGGCAAGCGUUGUUCGGAAUUACUGGGCGUAAAGGGCUCGUAGGCGGCCAACUAAGUCGGACGUGAAAUCCCUCGGCUUAACCGGGGAACUGCGUCCGAUACUGGAUGGCUUGAGUUCGGGAGAGGGAUGCGGAAUUCCAGGUGUAGCGGUGAAAUGCGUAGAUAUCUGGAGGAACACCGGUGGCGAAGGCGGCAUCCUGGACCGACACUGACGCUGAGGAGCGAAAGCCAGGGGAGCAAACGGG